AGGCUGAGAUGCCUGUAGUGAUCAUGCCAACAUUAAUAAGGUUGGGGUAAUUAAAUUACACGACUAGCACCACAGAGACGAGAAUUGUGAAACGGGUAAGCUCCAUGAGCU
This 111-nucleotide non-coding RNA is filed under the name Mycoplasmopsis anatis. The record is from RNAcentral. Lineage: Bacteria; Bacillati; Mycoplasmatota; Mycoplasmoidales; Metamycoplasmataceae.